AGAGUUUGAUCCUGGCUCAGAACAAACGCUGGCGGCGUGCCUAACACAUGCAAGUCGUACGAGAAAGUCCGCUUCGGUGGAUGAGUAAAGUGGCGCACGGGUGAGUAACGCGUGGAUAAUCUACCCUUUAGUCUGGAAUAACUUAUCGAAAGGUGAACUAAUACCGGAUAAUAUCCCGAUUUCUUCGGCGAUCGGGAUCAAAGAAGGCCUCUGCUUGCAAGCUUUCACUGAAGGAUGAGUCCGCGUACCAUUAGCUAGUUGGCAGGGUAAUGGCCUACCAAGGUUAUGAUGGUUAGCUGGUCUGAGAGGAUGAUCAGCCACACUGGAACUGAAACACGGUCCAGACUCCUACGGGAGGCAGCAGUGAGGAAUAUUGCGCAAUGGGGGCAACCCUGACGCAGCAACGCCGCGUGAGUGAGGAAGGUUUUCGGAUUGUAAAGCUCUGUCGAGCGGAAAGAAGUGCAUGGUGGUUAAUAUCCAUCAUGCUUGACGGUACCGCUAAAGGAAGCACCGGCUAACUCCGUGCCAGCAGCCGCGGUAAUACGGGGGGUGCAAGCGUUGUUCGGAAUCAUUGGGCGUAAAGCGCGUGUAGGCGGCUGGACAAGUCAGAUGUGAAAGCCCUGGGCUUAACCCAGGAAGUGCAUUUGAAACUGUUCAGCUAGAGUAAGGGAGAGGAAAGUGGAAUUCCUGGUGUAGAGGUGAAAUUCGUAGAUAUCAGGAGGAACACCGGUGGCGAAGGCGGCUUUCUGGCUCUAUACUGACGCUGAGACGCGAAAGCGUGGGUAGCAAACAGGAUUAGAUACCCUGGUAGUCCACGCUGUAAACGAUGUUCACUAGGUGUUGGGGGUAUUGACCCCCUCAGUGCCGCAGCUAACGCAUUAAGUGAA
Molecule: ribosomal RNA, 887 nt
Filed under: uncultured bacterium
Lineage: Bacteria
Description: bacterial SSU rRNA
Rfam family: Bacterial small subunit ribosomal RNA
Source: RNAcentral